RNAcentral lists this ribosomal RNA (274 nucleotides) under uncultured bacterium. RNAcentral describes it as "partial 16S ribosomal RNA". It matches the Rfam family "Bacterial small subunit ribosomal RNA", at positions 523 to 796 of the family's 1533-position model. The record is from RNAcentral.
AUACGGAGGGUCCAAGCGUUAUCCGGAUUCAUUGGGUUUAAAGGGUCCGCAGGCGGGAAAAUAAGUCAGUGGUGAAAGCCUACAGCUCAACUGUAGAACUGCCAUUGAUACUGUUUUUCUUGAGUAUAGAUGAAGUGGGCGGAAUAUAUCAUGUAGCGGUGAAAUGAAUAGAUAUGAUAUAGAACACCGAUUGCGAAGGCAGCUCACUAAACUAUUACUGACGCUCAGGGACGAAAGCGUGGGGAGCGAACAGGAUUAGAUACCCUAGUAGUCC